Long non-coding RNA from Chelonia mydas (Green sea turtle), 2429 nucleotides. RefSeq lists it as uncharacterized. The transcript is spliced from 2 exons. NCBI's taxonomy places the organism in Eukaryota, Metazoa, Chordata, Testudines, Cheloniidae. The record is from RefSeq and is a predicted model, not a curated record.
GAGAGCCGGGGCUGCAGCCCCGCCCCGCAAUAAGCGCGGGGGUGGGAGAGGCAGUGAGCCCGGGGGGCGGGGGUGGAGGACAAGGCCCCCAGCAGCUCCCCCCCGAGGAGGGUAACACGUGGGGGGGGGGGAACGCGGCCCCUCCCUCACCGGCGAUCCCGUAGUACUGCGCGGCGGCGCAGGCCAGGCGCCCGGGCAGAAAAACCUGUGAGAGGAGGUUCUGAAGAUCCUUGCCGAGAUCACCCACAUCAUCAUCCCAUGGGUUCCGCCCAUGCAUACACAAAAGGUUAAGAGACUUGCCUCCAAACCGGACAGAUCCCAGGAUCAUGUAGGAGGCCAAAGUUAUCUCGUGCAAAGCCCCUGUGCCUUCAUAUUGGCUCUGACUCUCAAUGACCCUGGUUCCCUAGUAGUAUGGCUAGCAGGGUGUUCCUUUGGUCACAGUAACCACUGAACACAGAGGGAAAAGGCCCUGUGAAAAGAUAACGAAGUCUGGGACUAUAUUAUAAUUUGUUCUUAAUUUUUCUGGGUCUGGAGGGAAAACAAUAGGUUUGAUGUAAAGCUAAUUGAAGUCUAUGGAAAGAUUCAUUGACUUCAAUAGGUUUUGGAUCAGGCCACUGUUCAGACUCCCCUAGCGUGCCCAUGUCUCUCCCUGUCUCCAUCCUGACCACAGUCUAAGCCCCAGAUCAUGCAAAAUGGUUUCCACACAGUCUACUUGGUGUCACAGGAGUACCCGAGUCCCAUUUUCCUGUGAAAUGGAAAAGACCAGUGUGCAGAUCUAGGCAGCAUGAUCCAAUGGCUGUAGUACAGCAACAAGCAAAAUAACUUGGCAAGCCAAAGCAGCUGAUGCAGAAAGUUUUGAAGAGACACAUAUUACUCAACAUCAACAACUAAAGCAAAAGGUACUUUUAAACAGAAAGAGGAGAUACAAACAUAACUAGUAAACAAACACUACUGCUUUUCCCUCCCCAAUCUCUGAAAAGAUAUGUAAAUCAAGAACUGGUUCUUUAGCUAUGUAAAAGUCAACAAAAAUGUGUGCUUAAUUGGUCAUUUUCAACAUGAAGCAUAACCACUGACAACUGCAUUUUAUGUAGAAAUAUCUAAGACAGAUUCAGCAGUGUUUCAACAGUAAAAACAAGCAAAACAACCAACCAACCAACCAAAAAAAAAAUGUUCUCAGAAAUGAUCAGUAGGUGGCAGACAAGUUCUAUCUAAAAAUUAAGAUUCUACUUUUCCUAAGCAACAUUGAAAGAUUUCCUCAUGCUCACAAACACUAAAAUGUGUAAAUAGCUUGAUGAUGCCGCAUGCUACUUAACACAACCCCACUUCUAUAGGUUUAUUGCCCAACUAUAAAGCAUUUAAUCCUUAGAAAACUGAAUAGCUGCCAGGUUGAUUGCAAGAAUGGCAAGUAGGGAUCUCUAGUCCAAGGAGCGAACUUGCACCAGCAGGGGAAGUGGGGCACUUUGGAUUCAUCUUCUUUGAACUAGAACCCCCACUGUGACCUGCUAGUGUUUUUUAAUCCAACAGUUGGCUCAGAACUGAUGUGGGUUGGCUGGCAGCAUAUGUCAACCGAGAUAAGAGAGGAAGGUGGGGUUAGGCUGCUGGGUUCAGUUCCCUGUUCCACCACAGACUUCCUGUGUGAGCCUGGACAAGUCACUUAAUCUCUCUGGAUUUAGGUUCUCCAUCUGUUAAAUGGGGAUAAUAGUACUUCCCUACCUCUCAGACGCAUUGUGAGGCUAAGUAUGUUAAAGAUUGUGAGGCGCUCAGCUACCAUGAUGAUCUUUUAUUUGCCUUCUAGUUUUUAAGCCUUUAGGAUUCACAUUGUCCAGCUUUUCUCUGUUUCCUUUACUAGUAGAAACUUAGAAACUUCCGUUUUGUAAUUAAAGAUGAGGUUCUCAUGUAAUCGUAAGACUCUGAACAAAGCACCACAUAUUUUACAGCUUAUGAUAAAAUCACAAGAAUUUGCAACACUGGGUCUGGAAGUAACCAGUAGAGAGUGGGAGUGGAUAAACAGCUAGCUGGAACUAGGAAGGCAGCAGCAAAAAGUCCUGGGGGAAAGCAAGAUAACUACCAGAUUAAAAGUGUGAGGGAUUAGGAUAGAGACUUUUCUGGGUGAUUAAAGGUGCAUAAAGAUGUGAGAAGAUGAUACGGUUCCUUGUGAGUAGGAAAAAAAGAGGGAAGAAUCUGGGAAGGGGUGUGAGACUUGCUGUAUAAAAGAGGAACAGAUGAAUAGUGGAGGGCAAGUAUAUACAAUUUAGUGCAUACUCCUUAAUUCAAUUUCCACUGUCUAAUGUAGUGUGCUGGUUAAUGAUUAAUACAACGUUAACAGUAGAGCCAUUGGUGCCAGGCCAGUUAUGGAUAAAUGACAAGGAAUUUUAGAUCACUUUCUUUUUUGGUCAUGUAUAUUUAAUUAAAAUGGUAUUAUUUCCUGA